This 222-nucleotide non-coding RNA is filed under the name Rubellimicrobium mesophilum DSM 19309. The record is from RNAcentral. RNAcentral also lists the same sequence under 1 other name. Lineage: Bacteria; Pseudomonadati; Pseudomonadota; Alphaproteobacteria; Rhodobacterales; Roseobacteraceae.
GCAGAACGGACCGUGCAUGGUUCCCCGACACCGCCCCAGGCGGCAGGGGACGAACAGGGAAUGCGGAAGGACCCGACCCAGCCCGGGGGGACCCGCCCGCAGCCGCCCCCGCGACUGUCAGCGGAGAGCGCCCGUCAACGUGCCACUGGGCCCCAGGCCCGGGAAGGCGGCGAGGCGCAGCGAUCCGCGAGCCAGGAGACCUGCCAUGCGCGAUGAAACGCC